Drosophila subobscura is the source of this 955-nucleotide long non-coding RNA. RefSeq lists it as uncharacterized. The record is from RefSeq and is a predicted model, not a curated record. Lineage: Eukaryota; Metazoa; Arthropoda; Insecta; Diptera; Drosophilidae. The transcript is spliced from 2 exons.
GGUCUGACAGUACACACUGCUCUACAACUUGUAGCAAAAAAAAAUAUUUAUUCGAAUUAAAAUUGGUGUAAAAACGAAUUGUUUAAACGAAUUAAGUCUUCUAAUCGAAGUGAAAAUGUGAACGUUGUGUUUACUUUUGAAAUGAAAUCCAUUUAAAAUGCAUUUCAACACACCAACUCGCUGUGAAAAUUUCGUACAGGCAAAAAAAAAAAAAAAAGAGCCGAUUUUUAGUGGAAGAAGAAGCAGCAGCAGCCGAACGGGCAGUAAAAGCAAUCGUCGAAUACACGGACAAAGCGCAAGGCGAAUGAAACUCGUGUGAAGAGAAAACUUGCAAAAAUUACAGCAGCAACAACAGCAGCAGGCGAAAAAGUGUGUUUAGAAAAGAAAUUAAAAACACUCACAUAUACAUACCCACAUAAAACACACACACGAAUACAAGUACACCCGAAGAGAAUUGGUGCAAAAAGCAACAACAAAAACGAAGUAAAAUAGCGCGCGGUUUAAUAAUAAAUAAUUAUAUGUAUGCGCGCAAAACAAAUGAAGAGCCGGGGAGCCGCAAAGACAAAUACGAAUACGAAAAAUCAAUGAGAUUGUAAUAAAAUUCCGUAUUUUUGCUCCUCCUCCUCUCUCGCACUCUCUCUCCACCGACUCACUCUCUCGCUGUCGUUGUCGUUCUCGCUCUCUUGUCCGCACGAGCAGAGCACUUCCAACAGCAGCCUCUUAACUUGUGUGUCUGUUUGUGUUUCUUGUUGAUUUUGUGAUAAAAUUGCAAUCAACAACAUACACGAUACAACAAAAUAAAUGUAUUUAAACAAAAGUAUUAAAACAAGAGAGUAACAAAAGUGGUUGUGCAAGAAGAAGCAGCAACAAUCAGGCAAAAAAAUACCUGAAAAAAAAUAAACGGUAAAACGAAGAAGUGGCGACACACAGCGGAGAGCGCGCUAAAAGUUUAUUG